This 72-nucleotide transfer RNA is filed under the name Phrynosoma platyrhinos (Desert horned lizard). RNAcentral describes it as "tRNA-OTHER". Lineage: Eukaryota; Metazoa; Chordata; Lepidosauria; Squamata; Phrynosomatidae. The record is from RNAcentral.
GCCAGUGUGGUGUAGUGAUCUGAGCGUUGGACUACGACUCUGAAGAUCAGGGUUCAGUUCCCUGCUUGGUCA